Molecule: non-coding RNA, 107 nt
Organism: Capsicum annuum
Lineage: Eukaryota; Viridiplantae; Streptophyta; Magnoliopsida; Solanales; Solanaceae
Source: Rfam
ACGUCAUGGUUUGGACAUUACUUUAGUUUUCCGUUGAAUAUUUCCCAUACCUCAUACAAAGGCUCUCCAUUCAAUUACCUAAAAUUAAUGAUUUCAUCCCUCAACUA